CUUUUAAAGGGUAGUAGUUAUCCAUUGGUCUUAGGAACCAAAAACAU
RNAcentral lists this transfer RNA (47 nucleotides) under Callimico goeldii (Goeldi's marmoset). RNAcentral describes it as "partial tRNA-Leu". The record is from RNAcentral. Lineage: Eukaryota; Metazoa; Chordata; Mammalia; Primates; Cebidae.